CGAGUGAACCGGGAAGAGCUCAAAUUUGAAAUCUGGCGUCCUUCGGGCGUCCGAGUUGUAAUCUAUAGAGAUGUUUUCCGUGCCGGACCGUGUCCAAGUCCCUUGGAACAGGGUAUCAAAGAGGGUGACAAUCCCGUACUUGACACGAUGACCGGUGCUCUGUGAUACGUCUUCUACGAGUCGAGUUGUUUGGGAAUGCAGCUCAAAACGGGUGGUGAGUUCCAUCUAAAGCUAAAUAUUGGCGAGAGACCGAUAGCGAACAAGUACCGUGAGGGAAAGAUGAAAAGCACUUUGGAAAGAGAGUUAAACAGUACGUGAAAUUGUUGAAAGGGAAACGAUUGAAGUCAGUCGUGUCCGGGGGGUUCAGCCUGCUUCUGCUGGUGUAUUCCCCUUGGAUGGGUCAACAUCAGUUUGGUCCGGCGGAUAAGGGUGAUGGGAAUGUAGCACCUCUUGGGGUGUGUUAUAGCCCGUUACCGCAUACGCUGGUCCAGACUGAGGACUGCAGCUCGCCUUUAUGGCAGGGGUUCGCCCACUUCCGAGCUUAGG
This 546-nucleotide ribosomal RNA is filed under the name Bullera penniseticola. Its description in RNAcentral is "LSU rRNA". It matches the Rfam family "Eukaryotic large subunit ribosomal RNA", at positions 90 to 621 of the family's 3401-position model. The record is from RNAcentral. Lineage: Eukaryota; Fungi; Basidiomycota; Tremellomycetes; Tremellales; Bulleraceae.